UUUUCUUUGAUAUCAGCGUCGUCUGGUACAGAAACAUGCCGCUGUGGACAUGCUGUAAAUCUAUAUUUGUGUUAAACGAGGUAUUUGUCAGGAACACGAGGUGUGGAAGUAGGACAAUGUGCAUUUUCGUCCUGGAAAAAAGAUAAAGUAGGAAUACUUCCAUGGUCAGCUAACAACUGUGGUGGAAGAAGGAUCCUAAGAAAGUAAAAGCAGCAGAGCAGCAUCUGGAAAAUCAAGUCUCCGCACCACUGAUUGGUGAAAGCACUGUCCAGUCUCUUCACGUCUUUUUUUUGCCAGAGGUGGGA
Long non-coding RNA from Dermacentor andersoni, 305 nucleotides. RefSeq lists it as uncharacterized. NCBI's taxonomy places the organism in Eukaryota, Metazoa, Arthropoda, Arachnida, Ixodida, Ixodidae. The record is from RefSeq and is a predicted model, not a curated record.